Rhagoletis zephyria (snowberry fruit fly) is the source of this 151-nucleotide long non-coding RNA. RefSeq lists it as uncharacterized. Lineage: Eukaryota; Metazoa; Arthropoda; Insecta; Diptera; Tephritidae. The record is from RefSeq and is a predicted model, not a curated record.
CAGCGCAGCUUAGACGCUAUUUUACAACGCUUUUUUUCAUAUAUUUUCAAAGCGGUGAGGCAGUCGACGUUGAAGCGCUCACCAGUUAACUUGUUUUGCUUUUUAAUUGCUUUCUACGUGAAAAGAGCGGUUACAAAUAUCUACAUACUUG